Molecule: ribosomal RNA, 434 nt
Filed under: uncultured Kocuria sp.
Lineage: Bacteria; Bacillati; Actinomycetota; Actinomycetes; Micrococcales; Micrococcaceae
Description: bacterial SSU rRNA
Rfam family: Bacterial small subunit ribosomal RNA
Source: RNAcentral
GACGAACGCUGGCGGCGUGCUUAACACAUGCAAGUCGAACGCUGAAGCUUGGUGCUUGCACUGGGUGGAUGAGUGGCGAACGGGUGAGUAAUACGUGAGUAACCUGCCCUUGACUCUGGGAUAAGCCUGGGAAACUGGGUCUAAUACUGGAUAUGACAUGUCACCGCAUGGUGGUGUGUGGAAAGGGUUUUACUGGUUUUGGAUGGGCUCACGGCCUAUCAGCUUGUUGGUGGGGUAAUGGCUCACCAAGGCGACGACGGGUAGCCGGCCUGAGAGGUUGACCGGCCACACUGGGACUGAUACACGGCCCAGACUCCUACGGGAGGCAGCAGUGGGGAAUAUUGCACAAUGGGCGGAAGCCUGAUGCAGCGACGCCGCGUGAGGGAUGACGGCCUUCGGGUUGUAUACCUCUUUCAUUACAGAAUAAGCGAAAG